UGCCAGCAGCCGCGGUAAUACAGAGGGUGCGAGCGUUAAUCGGAUUUACUGGGCGUAAAGGGCGCGUAGGCGGCCAUAUGAGUGUGGUGUGAAAGCCCCGGGCUUAACCUGGGACGUGCAUUGCAAACGAUAUGGCUGGAGUAGAUGAGAGGGUGAUGGAAUUUCCGGUGUAGCGGUGAAAUGCGUAGAGAUCGGAAGGAACGUCAAUGGCGAAGGCAGUCACCUGGCAUCAUACUGACGCUGAGGCGCGAAAGCGUGGGUAGCGAACAGGAUUAGAUA
Molecule: ribosomal RNA, 279 nt
Filed under: uncultured bacterium
Lineage: Bacteria
Description: partial 16S ribosomal RNA
Rfam family: Bacterial small subunit ribosomal RNA
Source: RNAcentral